This 521-nucleotide ribosomal RNA is filed under the name uncultured Glomus. Its description in RNAcentral is "SSU rRNA". It matches the Rfam family "Eukaryotic small subunit ribosomal RNA", at positions 569 to 1092 of the family's 1831-position model. Lineage: Eukaryota; Fungi; Glomeromycota; Glomeromycetes; Glomerales; Glomeraceae. The record is from RNAcentral.
AGCAGCCGCGGUAAUUCCAGCUCCAAUAGCGUAUAUUAAAGUUGCUGCAGUUAAAAAGCUCGUAGUUGAAUUUCGGGAUCAGUACGCUGGUCGUGCCUCCGGUAUGUACUGGUGUCACUGAUUCCUCCCUUCUGAAGAACCAUCAUGCCAUUAAUUUGGUGUGGUGGGGAAUCAGGACUGUUACUUUGAAAAAAUUAGAGUGUUUAAAGCAGGCUCGCGCUUGAAUACAUUAGCAUGGAAUAAUGAAAUAGGACGUUUAUCCUAUUUUGUUGGUUUCUAGGAUUGACGUAAUGAUUAAUAGGGAUAGUUGGGGGCAUUAGUAUUCAAUUGUCAGAGGUGAAAUUCUUGGAUUUAUUGAAGACUAACUACUGCGAAAGCAUUUGCCAAGGAUGUUUUCAUUAAUCAAGAACGAAAGUUAGGGGAUCGAAGACGAUCAGAUACCGUCGUAGUCUUAACCAUAAACUAUGCCGACUAGGGAUCGGAUGAUGUUAAUUUUUUAAUGACUCAUUCGGCGCCUUACG